CUUUCAAAUAUGGGAUGACAUGGGAUCUAUUUUCAAGUCUUUUCAUGCUUGUGUUAAGUUGUCUUCUGAGUAUCGACAAGAGUGGAGGCUUCAUAGUCUCCCAGAGAAUCUGUUUCAGUGUCUGACAAUACCCACAGUCCUUGGUUCAUCCCCAGUUUGUACAAAUACAUGGGACUAUUCCUACCCAGAUAAAGGACUUUGCAUUGCCCUUUAUUGAAUUUAAGGAGAUGCCUGUCAACUCCUUUCUUCAGCCUGUUGAGGCACAUCCACUAACAGAUGUCUCUGGUGUGGCUGUACCUACAGAAGAUCUCAAGGGAAACAUCCAUGCAACCUCUUUUCAAGAAAAACAGUACAUUUGGGUGAUUCAGUUUUCAAACUCUGUUGUUUUGCUCAAAUUCAGUAUUCUUGUAUCCAUGGCAACAAGAAGAUGUGCGUACUCUUAAAUAUUAUCCCACCAAAAAGUCAAACGAUUGAAAUGGAAAAUACUUGGCAUGUCAAAGCUUCAGUGUAUUUCAGAUAGAAAAUUAUGAACUAGAAAUCAAAUGUGUAGUGACUUUGCUGCUGGAUGUACUGUAAUUACAUCUCUGCUUCACAAUGUACUUUUAUGGCUCAAGGUUCUUCAAAUUGAAAAAGUGCUGCAUCUUUAUUUAUUAAAUGCUAAUGCAUUCCCAACAGAAAAGCUUAACUCUACAAAUGCUUAACAAUUAUGCAGAAUGCACUAAAGUGCUCUCAUCCUAAUCAGUUUGUUUUCAUUGGUUUUUAUUUCAGUUUUCACUGAUAUUCAACAGCAAGGCAUUGUUAUAAAUAAAAAUACAGAAAUAGGAGUCAGGUUUUAUAAAGACUCCAACUCACCUCAAAGCUUUGUUGAGUCAGAACAGUAAAGACCAGUGCAGCCAGGGAAUUCUCCUUCUAUGUGGUCUUCCCAUCCAAAAUAAGUCCCCAAAUUCAGU
Zonotrichia albicollis (white-throated sparrow) is the source of this 950-nucleotide non-coding RNA. NCBI's taxonomy places the organism in Eukaryota, Metazoa, Chordata, Aves, Passeriformes, Passerellidae. The record is from RefSeq and is a predicted model, not a curated record.